CCUACGGGUGGCAGCAGUGAGGAAUAUUGGUCAAUGGGCGCGAGCCUGAACCAGCCAAGUCGCGUGAGGGAAGACGGCUCUACGGGUUGUAAACCUCUUUUGCCGGGGAGCAACGGGCGCCACGCGUGGCGCCACUGAGAGUACCCGGAGAAAAGGCAUCGGCUAACCCCGUGCCAGCAGCCGUGGUAAUACGGAGGAUGCGAGCGUUUUCCGGUUUUAUUGGGUUUAAAGGGUGCGUAGGCGGAGCGUUAAGUCAGUGGUCAAAUUGAGGGGUUCAACCCCUUCCCGCCAUUGAAACUGGCGCUCUUGAGUGGAAGAGAGGUAGGCGGAAUGCAUGGUGUAGCGGUGAAAUGCGUAGAUAUCACGCAGAACCCCGAUUGCGAAGGCAGCAUGCCGGCUUCCGACUGACGCUGAGGCACGAAAGCGUGGGGAUCGAACAGGAUUAGAUACCCCUGUAGUC
RNAcentral lists this ribosomal RNA (460 nucleotides) under uncultured bacterium. Its description in RNAcentral is "partial 16S ribosomal RNA". It matches the Rfam family "Bacterial small subunit ribosomal RNA", at positions 338 to 795 of the family's 1533-position model. The record is from RNAcentral.